AGUGGGCGCAGGCGAGUGCUGGCACAAGCAUGGAAGUUUCCUUGAACAUCUAUUCGACAUGUACAAGAUUCUCAAGCUCUGGAAGGCCCAAGAAUCGGUAUGUCUCUGCGGCCUCUUCCACUCUGCAUACUCCAAUUCCUAUGUCAACCUCGCCAUCUUCGACCCCUCCACCGGCCGCGACACCGUCCGCGCCCACGUGGGCGAUGCGGCCGAGGAGCUCAUAUAUUUGUUUUGUGUCGUCCCGCGGCAGCCCCUCAUCCACGAUGAUCUCCUCUUCCGGUAUAGUGACGAUGAGCUGGUGGAGCACCUCAAGGCUUCGGAGGUUUCGGUGAGGAAUGCUAAGGAGGGCGGUGUGUUUAAUGGAGAUGAGGCUUGGAGGAAGAAGGUGAAUUCCCUUGUUCCUCCUGGUGGGGUUACGGUGAAGCACAUCAAGACUGGUGAAGAUGUGUUGGUGUCGAGAAGGGUUGUGGCCAUUUUCGUGAUGAUGACAAUGGCUGAUUUCAGUGACCAGCUUUACGGGUUUCAGGACGCCUUGUUUGACAAUUCUAAUGGCCAACUUGAGUUUUCUGGCAACAGCUUUGGAGCUUUGUGGCCUGGGGAUGGCAAGCCUGGUCUGUGGUUGAAUUCAAUAUCAAGAAUGGGUGCGGUUUACUCAUUGCUAGUGAGGGAGGAGGAGAUUUUCAUCGAAGAGAGGAAAAGAGUUGGUGGGGAUCAAGUGGUGAAAGGCCGAGAUGAGGAGUUAGAGCUUGUGAUACCACCGGUUUUGGAGAACUGCACGAGGGUUUUGGGCGCAGAGGAGCAAAUAGAAGCAACAGAUCUGUAUUGGGAAGCUGUUUGUGAAGGGUCAAAGAGAGGGUUGGAUUGGGCUGAGAAGUUGUUGGGGAGGUGUGUCGAGAAGAACCCAUUUGUGGGGGAGCCACAUGUGGUGUUGGCUCAGAUUUACUUGACAAAUGGGAGGUUUGAGGAGGCCGAGAGAGAGGCUGAGAAGGGGCUGAAGCUCAUGCUGGAGUGGGGGAAUCCAUGGGACAAGAGGAUGACUUGGGAAGGAUGGAUUGCUUGGAACAGGGUUUUGCUGAUGAAGGCUAAGGAGAGGUCAUGGCCAAACACUUCUUGGGGCAUCCUCAACUUAGGGCUUGUCAAGUAAAUCAUUGAUGCAUACAACACAUUUAGAAGACCAUCUUCCUCUUCCAUCUGAUUUAUGAAUCUACCGUGAAUAAAUGCUUUUAAUUUUAUUAAACUAUGAAUUGUGAAGCAAUCAAAAGAUGAUGGUUGUGUUUGAGUGCAGGUCAUUUUCUAUGAAUAAAUUAAUGGUUGUGUCAAGAAUUAGGCAUGUCUUCUACUAAAAUAUUGGAAGUGAUGCACUAUUUGCCCGUUUCCUAGUUUGGUUGCUUUGUGAAUGGUGGGUGGGGAACCUCAAUGGUAAAUCCAAAUGCAAGAAAGAACGGGACAUGUAUGGCCCAUAGAUCCUCAAAAUCCGUCAUUGUCUGCGUGUUAGUGCUCUUUUACAGCAUGUGCAGUGUAUGGUUGCCUCUCCAUGGAAGUUAUGACCCACUUUCCUUUCUAUAAGCAUUCCCUUCCAAAAACAUCUAAGGAUCUUGGUUUUUCUUCGCACAGAACAAAAUAAAAAGAAAAUCAUAUGAGAUUGAAGAUAAAUGAAAUAAAAUAAAAGAUUAUGUAAUUCACAAGUUAGUAAGGUAAUCACAUGCAUAUUUAAAGUUAAAACAAUACACGCAAUUUUCUAAUAAAUAAGUAAAUAAAUAAAUAAUUAAACAAAACAAAUAUAAUUAUUAAAUGAGUAAAUAAAUAAAUCAAAACAAUUCAAACAUUUUUUUAUUAAGUCAAUAAAUAAAUAAAUAAAACAAAAUAGAUAUAAUUAUUACACACAUGCAAUAGAAAAAACUAAAUGUUAAAAUGAUGCGAUAAUCAAAUAUAAAAAAUCAAACUCACAUAAUUAAAUAUUGAAAACUCACCUCAAGCAAUCAAAAUCAAGCCAUAUACUCACUCAAACCCGAAAACCAAGCAAUCAAAAUGAGAAAUGAAACCUAAGUGAAUUGAGCCUAGUGAAGUUUCUAAGUAAUCCCAUCCUAGAAAAUGUAACCAAGUGCCCUUAGUGGAAAGUGUCUAAGUAAUCUAAGUGGAAAAUGUCUGAGUAAGCUAAGCUUGAAAUUUAACCUAAGGUCCACCUAAGUGAGUUAAGUGGAAACACAACUAAGUGAAACUUAAUGUAAGCUUGAAAGGCAGCCAAGGUCAUGACAAUGAGGGUUCAAAUGAGCCCUUCAAUGAAGGAUUCCUAAAGAUGGGCCAGAAAAAAUAGGUCAUAUGAGUGUCAAUAUGUCACCAAGGGACGACUACAAGUUAAGAGAGAAGCAAAGGAAAGCACCUAGUAUCACAUGUGCUAAGAUAACAAAAUGGAUGAUCUAUAACAAUAUUGUACCAUUUUCCUUUUCAACUAGGGAUGGUAAUGUUGCCCAAACUAUGUGCCAACAUUUGGAGACAAAAAAAAAAAAAAAAAAAAUCGCCUCCCAAUGCAUAAAGAAUCCUUUAAAGACAAAAUAAUUUCGUCUUCUAAUGAAUUCUUACAUCUCCAAAUAAUUAACCAUCAUUUUUUAAUUCAUUUCACGACAAAAGUUACGAAUUUGCGUCACAAAAAUUUUCGUUGAAAAAUAUAUUUGGUUAUAAUUUUAUUUUUUGUAACAAGAUAAAUAAUUUUAGAGAUGAAAUAGUUUGUCUCUAAGAGUUCAUUUCAUAUUUGGAAUAUGAAUGAAAGUAAGAACAUAAAUAAAGGUGAAUUACAAUAAUACAUAAGAGAGGGAAUUUUUUAAACAUAUUAUCAUAGCAUUGGGGUAUUUCCUACACUCAACAUAAAAAAUCUUUCAUACCACAACAUCUAUCACUUUGGUCUUUUUUUUUUUUUUUUUUUUUUUUUUUUCAUUUUUGAGAAAUCAAAAGUUGUUUUUUAGACUCAAUAAGAACUUAUAUGUUUGUUUGUCUAAUAAACGAUCAUUAAUACCACAAAACUUGACACUUCAGGCCUUACUUGGAUUGACUUUUAAGAAGUAAAAAGCUUUAUUUUAAGCUUAAUAAGAACUUUUAUAUCUAUUUGACUAAUUUUAUUUAAAGAGCUUAUGACUUACAAAAAAUAUUAACAUUAAAGUUAGCAAAAUAUUACUUUUUGUAAAAACUUUAUUUUAACUUCUACAAGAAGUUUUUCAUGUUUGAUAAAACUUUUACACUACUAAUAUCACUGUUUAAAAAUUAUGACUUUGAUUUUAGUUUUAGUUUUUUGUUAAAACCUAAAAUAAAAUAAAAAAUUAUGCCCUUUAUCUUUAUGUGGAGUAGGAUUAAGUGUCUAGGAACUAAACUAGGCUUAGCACAAUAUAGUAAGCAUAACCUACUUGUCAUUAAUGAUAGAAGAAACAAUAAUACAUAUAUUAAAGUUGUUUUAUUGAAAAAUUUUAUUAUAUAUACAAAUUUUAAAACUCAUUACUAUUAAAAAUGAUGAUACAUCUGUUAGGAUAGAACUCUUAAAAGCAUGACAUGAUGUAAUAAACUUUUGGUUUUUAUUAUUUAUUUAAUAAAAUUCUAGUUCACCUUUAUCUAUCAUAUUUCCACGCCUUAUAUCUUGUAAGCAUUCUAGUUUGUAUCUUUUGCAUUGUACAUGACUUGGGUGCAUUAGGAGUAGCACGGAAGAUCUAAGUCAUGGGUUCUUUGUAAAUAUAUGACUUGUUCAUAAUCGGUUCAUGGGUCUAGGUAACCCAUUAGAAGAUGUAGUGCAUCACCUCCUAAUUAGAGGGAGGACUGGUCUUGGCUAUUGGGGUGAGUCUCUUAUGGUAAGUGCACUGGUGUGUAUGGUCGCACAUUGGAUAAGACCUAUGGUGAGUUAUGACUUAAGACUAUCAAGUAGUUAUGAUAUCACCAAGUUGCUUCAUUGUGUUGUCUCUCAACCUUGAGAGAAUAUUGAGAUUGUACUGAAGUUAGUAGUGACUUUGACUUACGGAUAAGAUCGUAAACUGAUCAUGUAUUCCUUAUGGAUUAGGUCACUAUUAAUAGAAGUUGGUAGCAAUAGAUAUUCUCAAUAAAUGCACUAUGAUAUCUCUUGGGAUUGAGACAAUGUGACCCAAUGGGUGAUCUUAAGGAGAUGUGUUCAUGGAAACUAUGGUAAUAGUAGUUUCUUAAGUGAAACUUGACAUAAGCUCUUUGAAAGCUAAAAUAUGUCAAUUGAGCACACAAUAGAAGGAUUUGUAAUUCAAGGAUGGUAGAGGUAGUCUUGAAAGGCCGAUAGUUUUCACCUUGUUAAACUACGAACACUAGUUCAUAGGGAGACUGAACACAAUGGAUAGCAUGUCACAAACCCGAGCACUUGGCGUCUCGUUGUUAUUUACAUAGAAUACUAGAGUUCAGUUGAUUCUAUGUGGUGGGAUGUUGAAUCAACUUCAAAAUUGGAUUUUGAGGAAGUCGAUAUUACUAUGAGCUCAUAUACCUUGUUGGCACGGGUUAUGAAAGUUGAAUUGACUCUACGUUCACUUUUGUGCAUAAGGGCAUUUUGAUAAUUAUGCAAGGUUGCACAAGAUUAAGUGAACAAGGUCUCUAGAUUAUGCUAAUUGAUUAAUUAGUAGGUCUUGUCAAGUUAAUUAAUUAAUUAGGAACCGUUUUGGGUUAGAUUAAGUGACUCAAACCCUUAGUGGGCUCAAGUCACCUAAGCCCAAUAAGAAGCCCUAUAAAUAUCGCCUUAGGGGUUAGGGUUCUCAUAACCUUUUCUAGAGAGUUGUCUUCCAUUUCCAGAGAGAGAGAGAGGCAUUGCCUCCACUCUCUUUUCCAUCCUCACCAAAAGUGUGUCAAGAUCAAGAUUCGAGUCAUCGAGCGAAAAACUUCAGGUUUACGAGACUUCUGCGAUUUCAUUCUUCAUCUUCAACAUGUGAAUUUGAUUCGGGAACACCUAAAUUUGAGGUAUGGUUUUCAUUAAUACUUUUCGAAUCCCUUUAAAGUUUAAAAAUUCUUUUUUGUUCGCUGAGCAUAGGAUUUAAAAAAAGCCUAGGAUAAUUAUGCAUGUUCUUGACCUAAUUCGGGUUUGGGAAACUAAAAUAUCUGGGGUCUUCCCAUCAAUAUUUAGUUUGAAUAUAUUGGAGGAAAAAAAAUAAUGAUAUUUAGACAACUAUUUUUUAUAUAAAAAUAUUAAUAAUUUUAUUUAUAAAUUUAUAUUUUUCUUCUACUUAAUUAGUAUACAAAAUAUAUGAUAAGAUAAUUAAAAUUAACUUUUUACUUUUAUUGAAUAAGGGUUCGUUUAAUUUUUAUUUAUUUUACUUCUAACUCAUUGAAAAGACAAAAUUCAAAAUAAUUUUAUUGGUAAAGGUGAAAUUAACUUAAUUACUUCUAGAGGUGGUAUGCUCGACCUAUUUUUAAAUACAAUUUUUAAUUAGUAUAUUUAUUUAUGCAACAUAAAUUAUUUUACUAUUGGUUUCCAACACCAUUAAUAAAAAAAAUGUCACCAAUUAAUUUUUAAAAAAAAUACAAGAAAGGAAAAAAAAUUACCAUUAGGUUUUUGACCUAUUUGAACAUUCUUAUCUACUAGUAAGAACAUUUUGAAGGAAAUAAAGAAAACAUGAAGGCUCCAAGUACUUUAGAAAAAUUCCAAGUUUCAAACAAAAUAACACUAUUAUUGAUAUUUUUCUCUUAAAAUCAAGAGAUUGAUGCUUUUAUUUUUUAUUCACUAAUCUCUUUUUGAUGAUCAUUUUCUUCACCAAUGUCAUAAGCACAAUUUUUUUUAUAACCAAAUUAAGGUUUAUAAUUUUUGUACAUAUCAUACUCGUAACCAUCAUAAGGCAUCACUCUCUACUUUCUUGCCAAACCAAAAGAUACAUAUGAAAAAUAUGUAAAUACUUUCCACUUUUUCUUUUACUAACUCGAUGGUUGAAAUGAAAUCUAAUAAUUUGAUACAAUAUAUCUAUGAGAUACAAAUUUAUCAAAACCCAUAAAUAUUGAGAAAACUCCAUAAAAUGAUAGAAGAAACAACAAUACAUAUAUUGAAACUAUUUUAUCGAAAAGUUUACUAUAUAUACAAAUUUAAAAACACAUCACUAUUAAAAACGAUAAUAUAUUUGAUUUGAAUAUAUUGAAGAAUAAAAAAAAUUAUGAUAUUUAAAUAAGUAUUUUUUAUAUGAAAAUAUUGAUAGUUUUAUUUAUAAAUUUAUAUUUUUUUGUAUUUAAUUAGUAUAAAAAAUAUAUAAUAAGAUAAUUAAAAUUAACAUAUUUAUAGUAAGUUUAUUUCAAUUAAUUAAUAAUAUAAUAUAUAAAAGAUAUUAUAAUGUACUACCGCAAUGUCACAUGGGCAAGCGGAAGAAAAAUAAAGGGAGAAUUACCCUUAAGGGUAGGCUGGGGAAAAAAAUGACUGAAAAGGGUGGGUAAGUUUGAUAAUUCCUUUGAAGGCCUUAUAUUUUCAUUAGACUAAUUUACCCUUGCUCCAUUUGGAUCUGCCUCGAUUUUUCCUUUCAUUUCUUCCAUUCUUUCCCAAACUUACACCCCCCCUUCUUUCCAAAUCCUCAAUUCGAAACAAACCCUAAAUUCCUCGAAACAAGCAUAGAAACACAUAAAACCCAAAACACACAAAAUUUCACCUCGAAUCGACGGCCUCCGACUGCACAGUCUUCUCCACUUCAUCCACAGCCGAAUCAGCCCCUGCGUGAUUCCUCCUCAACCACUGCUGCUGAUUCUGCUGCUGAAACUGCUGGUAACUUUGCCCUACAUUCCUUUGAAAAUCGACGGCCUCCGACUGCACAGUCUUCUCCACUUCAUCCACAGCCGAAUCAGCCCCUGCGUGAUUCCUCCUCAACCACUGCUGCUGAUUCUGCUGCUGAAACUGCUGGUAACUCUGCCCUACAUUCCUUUGAACGUAUUGUUGCUGGUUAGGGUUCCGAUAUUGAAAAUUAGGAUUGGGGCCGCUAGGGUUUGCGGUCCCCAUUCCGUACUGUUGAUGGGAGGUUUUCUGUAAAUUUUUUGGUGUUUUAAUGUUCGUGUUUUUGCAAAUAUUAAAUAUUAAAAUAUUAAUUUUAAUAUUAAAAUAGCUUAGAUUUUAUUUUAAUUUUUCUAGCAUGACUUUGUAUAAUCUAUUAGUCUAUAAUUUUAAUUUCAUUUCAUUUUCUUAGUAUAUCUUUAUUCUUUAAUUUUUCAAAAUUGUUGAGGAAUGUGUUUUCUUAAACUUAGAAAAAAUCAAAUUAAAAUAGAAUACGAAUAGUGAAAAGAAAAAAAGAUCCCUGAGAAGAACUUGUGGAAAAAAGAUUUAGGCAAGAAAAUGAGAAAAUUGGAGAAAGAAAUGAACUUUCCCUUCAAUUUUUUUUUACCUAUAUCAAAUAUCAAAUUUGAUAAUCAAUUCAUAUUAAAAAUCAUAUGGUAACGGUGAAAGGUUAUCGAAAUUUUUUUCAUACAAUUAAUUGAUAAGGUUAAUUUUAUUGAUCUUUUAUGAGAUUUUGAUGAAAUACAUCUAACUUUCAUUAAUUUGAAAUAUCAAUAAAUAUUUUUUUUAAUUCAAAAUAAGAAAGAUAUUUCUUAAAUUUUCAAAUUAUUGAGAAUCAAUUGUAUUUAAUUAAAACAUUCGAAGAAGAAUGACAACGAAAAUUAACCUUUUCAAGUAUCACAAUUUUACCUGAAUACUAUGAGGCAAAAGAAAUCGGGCACUGUUGCUUGUGAUCUUUGACACAUUCCGUGUGAUGAGGUGCGAGAGGCAAUCUCCAAAUAAAGCCUAUUUCUAUUUUCUACCCAUUUGCUAUUUCUACAAGGAAUUUGGUGAAAAAGGAAAGUUGUUGUCAGCACCCCCACCACAAUUAUUAAAGGUUUUUAUUAUUUUUUUGGGUAAGCAUUGAGCAACAAUCACGAAAUUAUAUUUAAUACAAAGAAAAUAUUAAAUAUUAAAAUAGCUUAGUUUUAGAUUUUAUUUUAAUUUUUCUAGCAUGACUUUGUAUAAUCUAUUAGUCUAUAAUUUUAAUUUCAUUUCAUUUUCUUAGUAUAUCUUUAUUCUUUAAUUUUUCAAAAUUGUUGAGGAAUGUGUUUUCUUAAACUUAGAAAAAAUCAAAUUAAAAUAGAAUACAAAUUUGAUGGGUUUGAUGUGUCAUUGUUUAACGUGAAAUCAUUAUGUAAUUAUUUUUGGUUUUUUUUAAUGGUUGGAAUUUGGGGUUUGGCGUAGGUUUUCGAUUAUGCUGGGAUUUUGAGAUGGCAUUUUCAUGUUUGGGCUGAGAUUAAUUUUGGUUUUUGAAGUUAUCAAAUAGUGAGGUUUUGCUCAAUAUCCACUGGGGUGUUUUGAUUUGAACACUUUUGGGCAUGUGCAUAAUGGCUUAGAAAAUGUUGGAUUGAAACAUUAGUCACUGAGUUUAAUUUAUUUCCUUUGAUCUUUGGAGGAAUAUGUUUGUAUUCCAUAGAUUUGGGAAACUUGUAUUUUUGCAUUUAAUAUAUUAGAGAAUUUUGAGGUGGUGUUGGUGCUUUUCUUGAAAAUGGCAUUGUAACCAUCUACCCAAUCUGAAUAGAGUAGGACUAAUUUUUGGUUUCACUACGGUUACUUUGAUUUUUUUCAUGGGCUGUUUGGGCAUGUGUUUCUUGGUUUCAAAAGCUCAGUUUGAACUGAAGAUGUGAUAGGUAUCAAACAUUGGGAAUUUGAUGUUGACAAUUUCAGUUGGUCCAAGGAAUAUGCUUUUGUUGAAUAGAUUGGUGGAAUUGAGCUAAUGUUGAUUCUCUUGUUGAAAAUGAUGUUGACAAUUUCAAUGGCUCUGUGUGUUUUUAGUAGCAUGUAUGUAACUGUAUUUGGGAUCACUAAUAGUAGUUAAACCAAAAUAAAUAAUAGUACAAUACAAAUGCCCUACAUUUACAAUACAAGUGCACUAGAAGUACAAUAUAUUACAACAUUACUUGAUUCAUUAUACAUUUAAUUAUGACAAUUGAUUAUUUGAUAUAAAUUCCAUAGUGCAGUGUGGAGUAUAAUACAUGGAUAAAAGGAAAAAAACAAUACAAUACAACCAGGUUUGAACAUUAUUUUAAUUAGUAUUCUUUUAUUUUGACUAUAUUAAUGUUUGACAUUGUUGUUUAAUUUGACCGUUUUAAUUUUAAUAUUAUAUUAUCAUUUAUUUACUUUUACAGGAGAUCAAAAUAAAUAGUCGAUGCUCCAGCAAAAAACUUAGACAUCUACUUGAUGAGCUAAGUGAUGAAAAGAAGAGUAUAAUUCAACAUAUUGGCUUUGGUGGAUUACUUCAGCUCUCUUCCACAGAGAUAAGGCAUAGCUUAUGUAGAUGGAUAAUAACUCAUUUCAAUAUAGCCCACUGUAGGUUAGACAUAGGACAAGAAAGACAAUUUCCAAUAACUUGUUCUGAUGUAGGUGAAAUUCUGGGUAUUCCAUAUAUUGGUAGGAGGCUCCUACUUUCACCUACCAAUAGGAAUAAUAGGAUGGAAAACCUAUCAGAUCUUAGAGAGAGGCUGAUUUUAAUGGAAGACAUGGUCGAGUUCAAAAAAUUGUUUAUCUUCUUCUCAUGUGCUACAUUACUUGCUCCAACAUCAAAGUUGGAUGGUAGUCAUGAGUUGUGGUGUACUUUGAUGGCUGGAGACUUUGACAUCAAUGUUAAUUGGGGUCAAUUUGUACUUGACACACUGGUUGCUGGAAUUAGACAUUUUCGAUUGGGUAAAGGCUCAUGGUUUACAGGUUGCCUUAUUUUUUUACAGGUAGAUACCUUUUUUUAUUAAAUGCUGAAGGUUUCCAUAUCAUUUUCUAUGUUUUAACAAGUCUUUUCUAAAUAACGUAUUGAUGUGUGGAAUAUUUGUGUUUCAGCUUUUUUAUGUAAAUAAAUUUUACAUUCCAACCAUGUUGGUGCCACGUACCAUCCCAAUAUGUGCAGCGUGGACUGAUGACUUGAUGAAGAAAAGGGUGCAUGCCGAAUUGCAUGAUUAUGGUGAUUAUGGACUAGCUGAUGUAAAAGACAAUUUUCUUUCAACAUUUUCGUUUAUUUUCAUAUUUGAAAAUUAAAUUUAUAAAAAUUAUAUAUUCUUCUUUUUAUUAUUGUAGGUUCAAGAAGAUGAAAGGGAAGAAGAUGCACAUGAAGACCCUGGUAAUCCAAUAAAUGAAGUUGAAGAAGAGACUACUGAUGUGAGAACCUUCUACAUCUAUUCUUUUAUUUAAAGAGAAAACCAAACAUGUUAUGCAUAAUAAUAUAAAUCUUUGACACUUUGUACCAUUUUGUAGGAAAUUAUAGCAGAAUAUAAUGCAGCGGAGAGACAAAUUCACCAAUUGCUGCGAACAAUGAGAGGAGCAAUUGAUAAACUAGCAAAGCGGCAGAAUACAAAUAAAACCCCAUCAUCUUCUCAUCAAAGUAGAAGUCAUAAUCAACCUGAUAUCAAUGAUUCUUUCCCAUCACCACCACAUGGUAGUACGAUUUUUAUAGCACUCGUCAUUAUAAUUUUGUAUAACUUUUAAUUUAAUUGCAAAUGUUGUAUAAUUUUUUUUUUGGGAAAAUUAAUUUUGGUUAUUAUGCAUUCUGAAAUUAGCUUAUGGAUCGCCACUGAAUGAUCGUUUUGCUGAUGGUGAAGAUAAUGUAGGCCCAUCAACCUCACAGCCAGCAGCGCAGCAUAGCAGUAUACUUUCUGCUUCUUUAUGGUUUAAUAUCAAAAUAAUAACGAGUAUAUAAUAAUGGAUAGUAUUUCCUGUGCGUGUUAUUUUCAUUAAUGAAUUUUAUUUUCCUUUAUUUUCUAUACAUAUAGUUGAGGAUGAAGUUCAGAUGAAUGCUAUUAUUCCUUACGAGACUGGACAUCCUCCAAUACGUUCAUAUCGGCUACGUCGACAUGCUACUGCCCUUCAAUCACCAUACGUGGUACAACCGUCAAUCAAAUUUUCAGCUUCUUCAUCUGUAGCAAAGCAAGUUUUGGCAUAUGCAUUGGACGAUACACGUGAUGAAAGGUAAGGUUGAACUUAAUUUAGUAUAAACAAAUACAAUUAAGAUAGACAAUUGAAAUAAUUAGUUUUAAUUUCUAACAUCAUAAUUAUUUAUGUGUAGCCAAAUAUUAUGUUCCAUGCACAAUUUCUUCUUGACAAGGUUUGACUUGAAAUGCUUGGGACCCGACAAAUUGGUUGACAAUAAGGUAUUCAUAUUUAGUUAUGUAAAGUUAGGAUAAAAUUACUCUAAAAUUAUAUAUCUAAUUUUCAUUAAUUUACAUGAAGGUUGUAACCAUGCAUUGUCGAAUUUUGAAUGGUAUGGAUAAAGAAAAUAGGAAGCAUUUCUUAUCUCCAAACUUUGUGGUAAGAUAUGUUGUAAGAAUUAUAGAUUGGUUUUCUUGUUUUACGUAGAUUGUUUUAAUCUAAUGUAUGGUUUAUAAUUUUUUUAUUACAGUCUGAUGUGGAAAAGAAGAGGGGUUUCUUAUCUCCAAAAUACAUAUGUGACAAUUUAUGGAAAUAUUUCAAAAAUACUCGGUUGUGCACAUAUGAACAGGUUUUAUUUAGUUUAAUAAAAGUACUUUGUAGUUGGAUAUUUUUAAGUAUUGUGCAGAAAAUACAUGAACACAACUAAUUUGAUAAAAUCAUUGUUUUUCUUUUUUUUUGUUCCUUGUAGUUGUUCAUACCAAUAUGCAGGAAAAAUCAUUGGUAUUUAAUAAUUUUGAAUAUUCAUGCGAAAAGAAUCGAGUUAUUGGAUUCAUUAAUAUAGUUAUAGUCCAAUUACUUAUGUGAAUCGUUGUCAUUAUUUUUUAAAGAUGUCCAUAUUUAUAAUUGUAUAUUGUGUUAAGGUGAACGUUUUGUCAACUGUCAUUGGGAUUCAAGAAAGAAGACCAUCAGUGGACAUGACAGAAUUUGAAUUUGUUGUUCCAGAAUUUGUUGUUCCAGAAGUUGUCCAACAAUUGAAUCCGUAAGUUGCAAGAUUUGUAUUCCUCUUUAACUAUGGAAAGCAAAUCAGGUUAUAAAUUUACUAAUUUGAUACCCAAUUGACUUAAAAUUUCCUUAAUUACUAUUUGCAGAACGGAUUGUGGCAUAUUUGUAAUGAAGUUUAUGCAAUUAUGGAGUAACGGUGGAAUUUCUCGUGCAAUUGCAAAUGUAUUAUAUUGUGGUGAAUAAUAUAUAUAUAUAUAUAUAUAUAUAUAUAUAUUUAUCGUUAAUUUUUCUUAAUAUUAUAUUAUAUACUAUUUUGUACAGGACAAGGUCAUCAAGUACAGGGAAAAACUCCUAACACAACUGAUAAUGUCUCCAGAAAAUGAAGUCAGGGAAAAUGUCUACCAGGCUAUGGAUCAGUGAUGUUGUAAUUUUUUUGGUUUAUAGUUGUUGAUAUUUUUUUGGUUUAAAUAUGAUAUCACUAAUAUUUAAAUUAUAUUCCAGUUUAGGCAUGUAAUCUGUGAAACCCUUUUUGGGUUGACUAAUGGAAACUAUGGAGUACGUUCUUGCAGGUUAUACAGGGCUAAGAAAUUCCCUGUUAUCCUGAUAACACUGCAUGGCAAGUGGAGAAGCCCCACUGCCAGUAAUUAUUGUAUGGUAUAUGUGCUGCUGCAGUUUUAAUCUGUAUAUAGAGUUACUAAAGGAUGAACAUAAGAUGUUUUGUUAUAUGAUCCAGCUUAAAUAGAUCCAUUGUGUACUAACUGCCCUCAUGAGAUGGACAAUAUUCUUGUCAAUAUUAUCUACAUGCAAAUGCAUAUUCUUAUGUAGCUGAUUUUUGCUUCAAUUAUUUCAAUUUGUGAACAAUAUACUUUAUUGUUUUAUGAACAACUAAUAAUGUCUCCAGAAAAUUUCUCUGAAUUGCUGUAGGCAUCAUUCAUCAACGCCAUCACUCACUUACUCACUUGUUUUGAUGGGUCUUUUAAUUAUCUUAGUAGAGGAAAAAUAAUUUAAGCUCAGUUUGGUUAAUAUUUUUUAAACUAAUUUUUAUUCUCUUGAAAAUAUAUAUAUAUCUGAAAUUAAGAUAAUAGGAAAAAAAUUAAAAGGAAAAAAUAAAGUAUUUUUAAAAUUUAUUUUUUAAUUAAUUUUUACUUACUCUUGUCAUAAUUGUUUUAAAAAAUAAUUAUACAAAUAUAAAAAAAAUCAAAAAUAAAACAUAACAUAUACAAAUUAUUUUUAAAAUACAUUCAAAAACAAAGAAACAAACAAAUAUUUGUUUUAUAAAAUAAUAGAUAAUAGUUUUCAAAAAAUUAUUAUAAAAAAUUGUUUUUAAAAAUUAUUUUCAAAAAUAAAUAUCAAAUAAGGUCUUAAACUUUGUUUGAUAACUAUUUUAAAAAAUAAUUUUAUGUUUUUUAAAAAUAUAUUUCAAAUAACUAAAAAAAGGUUUUUUUUUUUGUUCUUAAAAAGGAAAAAUAUAUAUUCUUGAAAAAUAAUGGUAUAAAUAUAAAGAAUAAUUAAAAGUAAAUCAUUAUAUAUAAAAGUUAUUUUUAAAAUCCAUUUAAAAAUAUAGAAAAUAAGUUUAAAAUAUUUUAAGUUUCAAAGUGAUUUUUAUUUUAUAAAACAUAAUGAUUUUUCAAAAAUUACUUUUAAAAACUGUUUUAUAAAAUCAAAACAAAAUCUUAUCCCUUUUUUCGGAGAUCUCUAUAUUUUCUUUCCCCAGCAGUCCCAAAAUUAUACCUAUGCACCUGCAUUUUUAUACUAUGCUUGUUCCCAAAAAUUAAGCCCAUAAAUUAGUUCUAGCUAUACCCAUCAAUGAAAUGACAAAUCAACAAUAAAAAUGGCUCCACGAGAGCUGGACAAAGUGGAGUUCACAGCAAUACAUUGAUAACUGUAGGCAUUGCACUGUCAACUCAUCAUUUCCCAAACUAAUUUGAGGUUACAAAAAAAAAAAAAAAUUAUUGAACCAUUAUAUAUAAGAAAUUGGUAAUCAACCCAAGAAAUUGGACUUUAUUUAGUCAAAAGAUUGCAUUGUUAGUUUAUGUUGUAAUUUAUCAUACAGUUAGUGUUUUUUUAUCGUAAUGUUAGUGAAUUUAUGUUGUAAAUGUAAUUAAAAAUGUAGGCAAAACUGUGAACUAUUAUAAUUAAAAAUCUAAUACAAGUCCACAUAAUGGAGAUAAAUAACCUAUUACAAAUAACUCCAAAUACAAAUACAUCAAAGUACAAUACAAUUAAGCAUUACAUAUAUAAUCCAAAACUUAAUAGACAUGAAGUAAGUGUAUGAUUAAGCAAUUUUCAAACAUAGAACAAAAAAUAAAAGUAGUCCUACUACAAUUACUUUCUACAUGAACUCAAUUCUUGUUAAAAUAUGUUUAAAAUCUUCAUCCACGCCAUACAUUCUUCUUUGAACAACCUCUUCUGGUUCUUGGUAGGUGUUGUCAUCACCAUUUCCUUCCGGGAAUGCCCAUUUAAAGAAAUGACAGUCAUCUCUAGUAUUUGCAUAUUGACAACAAUAAUAUAACCUAUUUGGGUUAUCCUUUGAUUCAGAGAUUCUAACAGUCGCCCUCUGUCUGGGUGAACAUUUACACAUACAGUUAUGAUAAAGUAGAUAUUCACCAUUUCUAGUAUUACCUCUUAUAUUUCUAAAUGAAGCACUUGAAGAUGCCAUGAUGUAACCUGUAUUUCAAUGGAAAACAAGUUAAACAAAUGUAAUGAACAUGUACAAAGUCAAUAAUGAUCUUCAAAAUAACAUUAAAAACAUGGUUAUAAACCACCCUAAAUAAUGAUAAGAUCAUAAGUCUAAAAUAGUGACAUAUUUAAUACAAACAUCUUUGUCAUGACAAUCAAGUAAAUAAGUAAGUUCCAAAACAAAUUCUUACAGAUUUUCAUUUCAUAAACCACACAUAUCAUCACAAUCAAAAUAAGAUAAAAAGUAGCAUGUCACCAAACAAGCAUAACAUUAGAAUCAUGGAGCGGGUAAUGGAUUUUUGCAUGAAGCUCGAUUAUGGCCUGCAACUUGACAUCGUGAACAGAAGAUAAGCCUUUUUGAACUAAAUUGAGACUCUAUUCGACGGUGUCGAGGCCUUCCAGGUGGUCGUUUUGAGCAUGGAGGUUUAAGUGAAGGAUAUAAGCGACCUUGAGCAUCACGAACACAUCCAUCAGCAUCAACUAUAGGCAUGUUGUGAUUUGGAAUUGAAUUGAAGUGUCCAGAAUAUAUCAACUGUUGCACUGGAAGCUUGAAAUAUGAGUCAACAUAUUCAUAAACAUCUUGUUUCAUCUGGCGUAUUGCUGCACAUGCAUUCUCACAAGGUAUUCCGGCCAUUUGCCAAGCCUUACAAGUACAUGUACGCUCUCUCAAAUUCACGUCUACAUAUACUUUCAUAUUGAAUACCUUAAACACACCACCAACAUAGGGAUAUACAGGCAAUGAUCCACUCUUUAUAAUGUUUUCCAACAGCUUUUCCUCGGUCUUUGGGCCAAUUGCAGCUUUCCAAUUUUUUGUAGAACCCAUAUGAUCACAUGCUAGAUGAGCAAACUUAUCCAUAUGUGUCAUUACUAAGUUGAAAAUUGUGUAAUGACGUUCCUCCUUCAGCCAAGCAUUGAAUGAUUCAGCAAGAUUAGUUGUCAUCUUAUCCCAUCGUUUUUUGGCAAACUUUGACAUUGCCCAAUGUUGUGGAUUGUUCUCUUCAACCCACUUCGCUAGGUCACUGUUAUAUGUCUUUAAUUUUUCCAUGGCUACAACAUAAUCAUCAUCCAACCUAGCAUACGCAACAUUAUCAAGUAGCAACAAUGCAUCCAUUUUACAUUUUUUUCCUUUCAUUCUAUGUUUCGUCACAUAGCUACUAAAAUUCUCUUUCACAUGAUGAUAACAAUAUGCAUGAUUUUCUACUCCAAAAAGUUGAGAAACACUAUGAAGGAUUGCUUGAUGCCUAUCUGAUAUUAUGACUACCUCUUUAUCUUGAAGUAUGCCCUUCAAUUUCUGCAAAAACCAUAGCCAAUCCUCAUAGUUUUUUGAACUUACCACACCAAAUGCAAUUGGGAACAUGCCAUCAUCAGCAUCAUAAGCUGUUGCAGAAAAUAAAGAGCCCCUAUACGGUCCACUCAAAUGAGUUGAGUCAAUUGCAAUAACAGGUCGACAACCCAUUAAAAACCCUUGAAUUGAAAAAGAAUGUGCAAUGAACAAUUGCCAAAAAUGCCCAUCUUGUCUGCUAUAUUCAGCAAUCGUCCCUGGAUUAAUGUCUACCAAUCUCUGACAUAACCAUGGCAACAACAUAUAUGAGUUUUCUGGAAGACCAUAUAUUCUCUCUUUUGCCAUUUCUUUGUAUGUCCAAGCUUGCUUUUAACUCAAUGAAACACCAUACCGACUCCUGAAGUCUUUGCAAAUUUGACGGGGCAAAUACUCAGGGGUUGGCCUUAUUACUUGCUCUAUGAUACGAGCACCUCUCCUUCCCCGCAUUGAAGGUUGGCUUGAACACUCAACAUCUGCACAAUGAUUGUGUACAUCAAUGAAGAUGUUAACCUUCAAAAUUUUGGUAGUGCCUACUGAAAUAGCAGUGAUUUUCCAAGGGCACCCAUUCACUAAACAGCACACAGAUAUUCGCUUUGGAGAGUUCUUUUUGAAUUUGUAUUGAAAUCUACCAACUAAUGACAUCGUAUAUAAUGCAUUUCUAAAUUCAUCUGCAUUAGGAAAACUAUGCCCACUCCUAAUAAUAGGUUGAGGACAAAGACUUAAAUCAUGUGGCAUAACUUCAGUUUCUGCACAUCUGGACAUGAAGCCUUGAGAAAGUCCUAAAUUAGACUCAUUGUUUGCUUGACAUGAUGCAACUGAAUUGUGUGUUUCCUCCGUACUAUUGUGACUGCAUAUUAUAGCACACUUAGUUAAUUAAUAUUAAAACCACUUUGCAUUAUGGAAUUAAUGACAACUAAUACAAGAUAUAUCACUUACCAAUAAUCAUUUUGCACAUUAACUAUACCUCCUUCAACUUCUACUCUUCGAGUCCGUUUUAAUACAUAAAUACGAGCAUAAUCAUAACUAUGGGAUAACAUCAUAUGCAUGUCCUCAUCAUCAUCCAACUGUUGAAGUGCAGAUGGAUCAAACUCAAGGGUGUAAUGAAAUGUAUAUCCAUUUGAAUUAAUAUCCAACCGUUCACAUGCCUUUGAAACAAAUUCAACAUAUGACAUCCUUUGUCCAAUGUACAUGCCUUUUUGUUGUCCACCCUUGUAUUGUAUUUGUUUAUCCUCCUUAGGUACAAUCUCCCCUCUUUCAUGAAGGUAGCCAUAAAUGGAAUUUUCCAAGUCCAUUUACCAAUUCAGAAGUACGUCUUCUUUCACCGACAAUCAAAUCAAUCUAUUUCACAAUAUUACAAUCAAUGAAAAUUGAACAACAAAUACAAAAUAAACAAAUGAAAAUUAUAAUCAAUUGAGAGACAUAUUUUAUAUAAUAAAUAACAAUAUUUGUUGUAUAUUAUACAUGUUAGGGAUAUGCCAAAGAACCCAUAAUUGCCCAGUUUCAUAAGAAAUUUGACAUUUUCAAAAUUUUACCUUAUCGUAAUGUUAUUGUAUUUGUAUUGUAAUUGUACUGUAUUUUUAUUAUACCUCUAUAUUUUUAUAUAAAAAAAAUUAAUUUUAUAGAUUUUUUUUUAUCCAUCAUUGGAUUAUCAUCAACAACUAUUUCACAAUAUUACAAUCAAUGAAAAUUGAACAACGGAUACAAAAUAAACAAAUGAAAAUUAUAAUAAAUUGAGAGACAUAUUUUAUAUAAUAAAUAACAAUAUUUGUUGUAUAUUAUACAUGUUAGGGAUAUGCCAAAGAACCCAUAAUUGCCCAGUUUCAUAAGAAAUUUGACAUUUUCAAAAUUUUACCUUAUCGUAAUGUAUCGUAAUGUUAUUGUAUUUGUAUUGUAAUUGUACUGUAUUUUUAUUAUACCUCUAUAUUUUUAUAUAAAAAAAAUUAAUUUUAUAGAUUUUUUUUUAUCCAUCAUUGGAUUAUCAUCAACAACUAUUUCACAAUAUUACAAUCAAUGAAAAUUGAACAACGAAUACAAAAUAAAAAAAUGAAAAUUAUAAUAAAUUCAUAAUAAAAAACAAAGUGGUCUCGUACAAAGGGGAUUUCGGUUUUCAAUGACAAUCCAAAUAUGUUUAUAAAUACACAAACAAAGUGGUCCCAAACAAGCAUGAAACAACUGAGAACAUUUUUUCUUCAAUCAUGUCAAAAAGUCUUAACAACAAAACUAAAGUGCAAACCUUUUCAAUGGAAAUCAAUAAUAAUCAUAUCAAACAACCCACCAAGCAAAUAAAUUAAAAAUAAAAACACAUCUUCAAUAUGACCUAAAUAAUAUAAAAAAAUUCAAAAUAAUAAAUUUAAAUAACAUUUAAAAAAAAAUGUAAUUUCUUUCUGAAAACCUCAUUCAAUAUUUCAGAUCUAAUAUCUUACAACUAUAUUGUUAAAAUUAUUAACUUUUCCUUCAUUCAAUUCGAUUUUUAAAUUAUUUAUUUAUUUUUCCAUAAACUGACAUUUUUUUUAUUAAAAAAAAAACUCACCUUUAAUGGAUUUCUUGCUAGAUUCACGAAAAAAAAAAAACAAGUUUUGUGUAUCGGUUGCAGAGAAUGACCUGAAGUGCGCACCUUUUUCCUUUCCCCUUUUUCUUCUACAACUCAGCUCCAGAUAGGUUAAAGAAAGGGAGAAUAAACUCUUUUCCAGAUAGGUUAAAGAAAGGGAGAAUAAACACUUUUUCACUUUCCGUUGUUUUUCACUUUCCUUGCUUUUCACUUAAGGGUAGUAUUGGCAUUAAAAUAAAAUAAGUCAUUUGGAGGAAUUAUCAUCAUUUGACCUUACCCUUUACAAGACUUAUCAAAGUUACCUACCCUCAUUGGUCAUUUAUUCCCCCAGCCUACCCUUAAGGGUAAUUCCCCCAAUAAAGGGAGAAUAAACUCAAUUUAAUAGUUGGUGGAUGCUGUUUUUACGUCAUGGAGAACGUGGUGGCACAUGCUCUGUGAGUAAAAAGUCUGGCAUUUGAAAUAUAUAAAAAAGCAAUCCCUAUUCUCUAUAUCAGUGUAUCCAUCCAUGUAAAAAAAUAUUUUGCGUUGUAAUCAACGUGGCCUAUUCAGACAAGGACCAUAUCUCAUUUGGGAUCAGUUGCGUCUCUCCUAUAACGACCAUCACCUUCCGCUCUUCUCUUUUUCUUUCUUUCUCUCUUCUCCUUCUCCUCCAUCGUUCCCUUCUCUCCCUCACUCCCAAACGGACACUAUGCCUUCCUCUCUAUCUUCAUCUCCCUCUCCGGACCUUCAUCUCCAAACCCUCUUGGCCUCCGCUCGUCCCUUCCUUCGGGGCGAGCUUGAAGCCGUCCACCCAAAGCUGCCUUCUAUCAUCUCUGUUCUCCGAUCGGUGGGCGCAGGCGAGUGUUGGCACAAGCAUGGAAGUUUCCUUGAACAUCUAGUCGACAUGUACAAGAUUCUCAAGCUCUGGAAGGCCCAAGAAUCUAAUUCAUCUUAAAGACUCUGAAAAAGUAUGGGAGGAAUGUGGGCCUACAAAUAUUUAUAGACCGCAAUCAACGUAACCUAAUUCAUCAAUCAUCAAUAUUCCUCACACCUUAAAGAAAAAAAAAAAGAACCCUAAUACAAACAAACACCUCCUAUCAUCAUCUCCAUGUUUUUUGAGAAGAAUAAAAAGAACCACCACCACAGUUGGAUUUCCACUAUCAUUUUCUUCCAUUCCCCCCUUCGGUAGCGCGUAAAAUUCAACAAUUACUCAAAAACCCAAAAAAAGAAAAUAAAAUUCCAUUUCCAAUCAUAAUUUUGAUUUUGACCAUACUCAAUGUGGCAACAACAUAUCAUUACUCUUUUUUCAUGCUAUUCUAUAUCGACCCUUUUUAGGUCGGGUCAUUUUCUCGUUUUCAAAAAUAUAGAUAAAAAAAUAUAUAUGAUUAAUUAACAAUAAUUUUAUAAUAAAAAUAAAAUUUAUGUAAUUAUACAAGUAUGUUUUAUGUUUUCAUUAUACCUCAUAUUAUGGAUGAUUUUCAAUUUAUGUAAUUAAAAGUUUGUGGUUCCUUCUCUUUAAAUUUCUUGUUAAAUAUCUUGUGUAUUUUCUGAUUUCUCUUCUUUGUUUUGAAUUUUGGCAUAAUUCAUGUUUUCAUUGCAUAUAACCUUGUCUUGGGUGUCUAUGGUAUUAGAGCCACGGGAAGGGAAGUCGGGUUUGUUUUGGGUGUUUUGACCCUAAACUUGUGAAUUGUCUUAAAUCCUUAAUUUUCUUCCUAUACUGUCUUACUUCAUCAUAGAGUUCCUUAAUGCUUAUUUCUUUGGGAGACUACUGAUCAAACCUGUUUAAGAUUUCAUUAAGGUUAUAAGGAUUUAUAGUCUUCUUAACUUCUGGCUUAAUAACAAACUUUUUAAACACUUCAUAAAGAUCUUGCUUAGUCUUUUCAUCUUCAAUUUUCCUUAAAAUAUCUAGGACAAGUUCUUGGUCUUUGCUUAUGACAUUUAUGGUUUUGGGACGACAAUUACAAUUACCCUUAACACAUUCUUCUUGGUUACUAGAAGUUUGGCUAGAGACUUCACCACUACUGUCUAGUUGAUUAAUAUCAUCUUCAUUAUUUGAAUCAAUCUUUGACUCAGAUUAUGAGGUUUUUAACAAGACUUCGCAGAGCAUAUUUUUUAAAUCUUCUGAGACAUUAAGAUUAUUAAUCUUUUGUCUAACCUUACAAUCUUUUUUAUAGUGGCCAACCUUGCUAUACUUAAAGCAAAUAAUUGGCUUGGAAUCUAAAGGGGCUUCUACCUUUUUAUGGGCUUCUUUGUUUAUCCUUUUUUGGACGUGUCUUGAAUGCUUGGUUUCAUUCAUCCUAUAAUUUCCAUAAGUAUCUCUCUUGCUAUGGUAAAAUUUAUUUUUGCUAGGCUUCCUAAUUGUUUGUUGCUUAGAGGGAGGCUUAGUUUCUUUUUAGCUGAAACCAAAUUGGCUACAAAAUAACCCAAAUUCAUUCUUGUAGAUCCUUUGUUCAUUCUUCAUUUGUUGCUUAAGCUUGAAGUCAUUACACAACUUGAUCCCUUUAGCUGUGGCAAUGCUUAUAAUCUCACCAUAGGUUAGCUUAUCAUAAGGGAUUUGACCAUUAUAAUGUUCCCUUAUAUUAAUCCUAAUUCUUUCAGAGAAAAGUCUAGGUAGACCUAAGAUGAAUUUUUCUUUCUGAAAAGAUUGGUUACAGUCUGAUCUUAGCAUGACUUUGGUUGGGAAGACUUCCUUAUACCAUCUAAAGUCAUGAAGCUUGGGACACUUAAGGUUGGUUAAGAGAUCUGCAAUCUUAUCCUUAAUUUUUGUAGGAUCUCCAAUGAAGUGCUUGGAUAUUGAAUAGAUUAGAGUAGCCACUACAUCCUCUAUAUCUUGACCAUCUUCGUCCUUAACAACUUCAUUAUUUUCAUUAAUCCUAUAGGCUUUUAGGAUACUAUUUCUGUCAUCAAAAGUGAGAUAGUUAUCCCACCAACCCUUAAGUUGUCCUAUAAACCCAACUACAAUUGUCUGAGCAACAGCAUGGUCGGGUAGUCUAUUGUUUAACUUAUAGGUUGUACUAACCAUGGUCAUUUCUUGAAGCUUAGUGAGUAUGUUAUACUCGGUCAUACCAUCUAUGUUCCAUUCAUAGAUAGUACCAUUAGUGUAUGAAGCUUGAGUAUACUGAUUUCUUUCCUCAAAUUGCAUAUUAGGAAAGGUAGGUCUAGGGUAGUAAUUCUUAGUCUUAAAGGCUUCCAGAUUGUUGAUAUUUUUUGAAACAUUUUGAUUAGAGGUUCCUCAAACAUCUUAAUUAGUUCAUCAACUUCUUCUUCUGAACUAAUAUCACCCUUAACCAUAUUGAUUCUCAUAUGAGAAGGCUGAGUUGUCAAAGGGACCACAGGGUUAUCCUUAAUCUUUUGGUUAAUCCUAUCAAUAAAAUCUUGAUUGAUUUAGGGAUUUUCCUAGAAUUCCUUAGAGAAUUCAUAUGGUUUAAUUUCUUUCUUAUUAGUGAUGUCACUAGUAAACCAUAUCUUGGUGUUGUUAAUACACUUACAAGGAUAGUCUGGAUAUUCCUCUUGUUUGAAGAGUUUAAACCAGAUCCAAAACUUAAUGUUUUUCUUUUCUUGUCUUAAGUAAGCAUAGAAUUCUUCUUAGUAGAGGGUUCUAAUGUCUUUAGGGACAGUGCUAAAGAACCAAUCUUUUAUUUCCUUAUUGGCUUCAGAAUAAAAGUCCUUUCUUAAAAGAUCUUUGUUGAUCUCAAAAUCCUUAUCAUCAAAGCUUAUUGUGUUAAUCAUCUAGGAAUACGUAGGAGACAUAAUAGGAGAUUCAUCCUGAUUUGAUCCUUGAGUAGACUCUUGAUCCUCAGUGUAAAAGGGUCUGGCCAUGUUGGUGUGACUUUUAACACCUGUUAACUUAAUAUUCUUAGGAUUUGUUGAACCGGAACCUUCUUCUUCCUUAGUGGUUCUAACUGGGAUAGAAGAGCUUGAAGCUCUAGAGGGCUCAAAAUUUAAAAUUCUAGGGCUACUAGAAUGACGGAAAGAGUUAGAGAAAAUCAGAUCUCCUCCUCCAUCAAGAUAUUGAACAAUCUGUUCAAUGCUUUCAAAUCUCUGUUCUAUAGCUGGAACGACAUUAGUAAAAUGCCAAUUUUCAGGAAACUCAACCUCAUUCCACUUGAUUUUCAUGGGGACUAUGAAAUUAGACUUGUUUAUCACAUCUGAGUGGAAGAGAGUGCUCUUACCCUUGGGAUUGGUGCACAAUGCUCCAAAUCCAACACUUGUGGUCAUGCUCUUAUAGGCAAACCUGGUUAUGAUGGAAACAUGAUUGUUUCCUUUCUUGAACUUAAAGCCAUGGGUCUUAACAUGAAGGACAAUCGAAUCUAAGAUAUCGACAUCUCUUAGUCUAACUGUGAAGUUAGGGAAACACUGGAAAUAGACAGGGCCAUCAUUCAGUCCAGCUUGGACUGCACCUAUAAUAGAAUCUCGAUAAUCGAGAUGUCUAUUAUCUCUUAGACACAUGACAAUAGAGGUGUUUAAACCUAAUCUUGUCAAAGGCUUAGCUGCAACUUAAAUCAUACCAAAGUGUAUGAAGUUGUAGUGGUCUUUCUUAUGUUUUUCAACUGACUUACUAUCCAAGAGUCUUAUGACUUGAUCGUCUUGUUCUAAACUUACUGACAUUUCAGAGGUUCUAAUGUGUAGUCUGUGAAGAACUUAAAGGUUCAUUUCUUAUAAAUUUCUUGAUUAGAUACCUUGGGUAACUUCCAAUCAUCUAAAUCAUUUUGGAUCUUAGGAUAAUUGAUCCCUUCACUGUUUACAACAGUAUCUUGAGAAUUAAUGGAUUUCCUAGACAUGGUUCUGAUAAUCAAACUCAUUUUAGGGUUUUAAUCUAGAGCCUAAUAGCAUAUUGACAGACUUAAUGAGACAUCUCCCUAGCCCCUUAUAGCCCUAACAAACGCCUAUCCACGGCUAACAAUGGGCUCAACCAGAUAGGGAUCGCACUCCUCGGCACACUACUACUUAUCCUAGGAUAGCUUAAAACACCCAAAACAAACCCGACUUCCCUUCCCGUGGCUCUGAUACCAUAGAAUUUUAUCCAUUCCUCUCAUUCUUCGUACCCUUCCCAUUCUCUACUUCUUUGAAUUUUUAAAAUAAUUUUGGGACUUCGCAUGGCUUGGAUAUUGUUGAAAUAGAUUCAUUACACUUAGUAGGUGUUCAAUUGAUGCCCUAAAAAAUAAAACUCCAAAAAUACUAAAAAAUUAGAAAGAGUAGGUGUUUUAAAAAUCCAUUCCUCCUUCUCCACUUCUUUGAUGUUUUAAAAAAUUUCUGAGACUUCAUAUGCCUUUGAUAUUAUUUAAAUAGGUUCAUUACACUUAGUAGGUGUUCAAAUGAUGUCCGAAUAAACCAAACUCCAAAUAUACUUAAAAAUUAGAAAAUGUAUGAAGAAUGUGAAGAAUCCUCACAUUCUUCGUACGCUCCCCAUUCUCCACUUCUUUGAUGCUUUAAAAAUGUUUAGGGACUUCAUAUGGCUUAGAUAUUGUUUAAAUAAGUUCAUUAUACUUAGUGGGUGUUCAAAUGAUGCCUGAAAAAAAAAAUCAAAUUCCAAAAAUACUUAAAAAUUAGAAAAGGUACGAAGAAUGUGAGAAAUCCUCACAUUCUUCAUAUCCUCCCCAUUGUUCACUUCUUUGAUGUUUUAAAAAUUUUUUGGGACUUCAUAUGGCUUAGGUAUUGUUUAAAUAGGUAUACUUAGUGGGUGUUCAAAUGAUGCUUGGAAAAAUCAAACUCCAAAAUACUUAAAAAUUAGAAAGGGUAUGAAGAAUGUGAGGAUUCCUCACAUUCUUUGUAUCCUCCCCAUUCUACACUUCUUUGAAUUUUUAAAAUAAUUUUGAGAAUUCGUAUGACUUGAAUAUUGUUUAAAUAAGUUCAUUACACUUAGUGGGUAUUCAAAUGAUACACGAAAAAAUAAAACUCCAAAAAUAGUAAAAAAUUAGAAAUCCUCACAUUCUUCGUACCCUCCCCAUUUUCCACUUCUUUGAUGUUUUAAAUUUUUUUUUUUUUUGUGAUUUCAUAUGCCUUUGAUAUUAUUUAAAUAGGUUCAUUACACUUAGUGGGUGUUCAAAUGAUGCAAAUUAGAAAGGGUACGAAGAAUGUGAGGAUUCCUCACAUUCUUCGUACCCUCAUUCUCCACUUCUUUGAAUUUUCAAAAUAAUUUUAGGACUUUGUAUGACUUGGAUAUUGUUUAAAUAUGUUCAUUACACUUAGUGGGUGUUCAAAUGAUGCAAAUUAGAAAUGGUACGAAGAAUGUGCGGAUUCCUCAUAUUCUUUGUACCCUCCCCAUUCUUCACUUCUUUGAUGUUUUAAAAAUGUUUAGGGACUUCAUAAGGCUUAGAUAUUGUUUAAAUAAGUUCAUUACACUUAGUGGGUGUUCAAAUGAUGUCCGAAAAAAUCAAACUCGAAAAAUUAGAAAGGUUAUGAAGAAUGUGAGGAAUGUUCACAUUCUUCAUACUCUCUUUAUUCUCCACUUCUUUGAAUUUUAAAAUAAUUUAGGUAUUUUUUUAUGGCUUGGAUAUUGUUUAAAUAGGUUCAUUAGACUUAGUAGGUGUUCAAACGAUGUCCAAAAAAAGCAAAAUCCAAAAAUACUAAAAAAUUAGCAAGAGUACAAAAAAUUAGCUUGGUUCAUUAUCCACUUAUUUGAAUUUUAAAAAAAAAUUGGAACUUCAUAUGGCUUAGAUUUUGUUUAAAUAAGUUCAUUACGCUUAGUGGAUUUUCAAAUGAUGUUUGAAAAAAUCAAACUAGAAAAAUACUUAAAAAUUAGAAAGGGUACGAAGAAUAUGAGGAAUCUUCACAUUCUACGUACCCUCCCCAUUUUUCACUUCUUUGAAUUUUAAAAAUAAUUUUGGGACUUCGUAUGACUUGAAUAUUGUUUAAAUAAGUUCAUUACACUUAAUGUGUGUUCAAAUUAUGCCAAAAAAAAAUCAAAAUCUUGAAAUACAAAAAUACUAGCUAGGGUACAAAGAAUGUGAGGAAUCCUCACAUUCUUCAUACAUUCCCAUUAUCCACUGAUUUGAAUUUUUUUUAUUUAAAAAAUGGAACUUCAUAUGGCAUUGAUAUUGUUUAAAUAGGUUCGUUAUACUUUGGCGGUGUUCAAUUGAUUUCCGAAAAAAUAAAAAUACAAAAAAAGAAAAAAAUUAGCAAGGCUCACAUUCUUUGUGUCCUCCCUAUUCUAUGUUUAUUUGAUUUUUAAAAAAAAAUUUGUGACUUGAUAUGACUUGAAUAUUGUUUAGAUAAGUUUAUUACAUUUGGAGGGUGUUAAAUGAUCCCUUCAAAAUCGAAAUUUACUAAAAAAUCAACGAGGAGUAUGAAUUUCCAUAUUAUUACUAAUUUACCUUUUUCCUAUUUUCAAUAUUUCAACCAAUUUUUUGUGUAAUUCAAUUUAAACAUUAAGAAAUAAUUUAUUUAUAUAUUUCUCCAUUAAUAAUUAGUACACAAUUAAUUUAAUUUUAAAUUAAUAUAUUUUUUAAAAAUUUAUUUCUGUUUUUUUCCCUUUUUUUUCACUUCAUAAACCAAUUAUAUUAUUUUUCACACUUCAAAUAUUCAUCCAAUUUUUUCAAUAAAUAAUUUGAAGUUAAAAUAAAUUAAAUUUACUUUACCCUAAUUUAUAAAUUAUAUCACCAAAUUAUUUUUUUUUUUAAAAAUUAGUUUAUUUUAAAUUUAAUUUUCAUCUUUAUCACUUUAUAUUACAAAAAUAAAUAAAUUGCAAUUUUGUUUUCCAAAAUUUUCUUUAUUUUUCUGCUUCAUAAAAAAAAAUUCCAAAAGGAAAUAAUUGGUCAUUGUAGUAGAAGUUAACAAUAUGAGCUGUAUGGGAUUAGUUCCCAUGGAGGGUAACCAAAAAGAAUUUGUUUUCUUUUAUUUUGUAUUUAUCUUGCAUGUCAUGUCUUAAUCUAUUAGACUAAAAAGAUUGGUAUGGUGUGAUUAUCCAAUUAGCUUAAAAAGGUAGGUAUGGUAUGAUUUUGGUAACGUGGCAUAACCCUUCUCUAUAUCCAUCUUCCAUCUUCCAUCUUCUGCGUUGGAAUCAACGUGGCCUAUUCAGAUAAGGACUCUUAUCUCCUUCCGUGUUUACCGUUCCACACUACAACAGACGAAUUGGGAUCGGUUACGUCUCUCCCUUUGGGCGAUACCCACCAUCUCCUUCCGAUCUUCUCUUUUUCUUUCUUUCUCUCUUCCCCUUCUCUUCCUCACACCCAAACGGACACUAUGCCUUCCUCUCUAUCUUCAUCUCCCUCUCCGGACCUUCAUCUCCAAACCCUCUUGGCCUCCGCUCGUCCCUUCCUCCGGGGCGAGCUUGAAGCCGUCCACCCAAAGCUGCCUUCUCUCAUCUCUGUUCUCCGAUCAGUGGGCGCAGGCGAGUGCUGGCACAAGCAUGGAAGUUUCCUUGAACAUCUAGUCGACAUGUACAAGAUUCUCAAGCUGUGGAAGGCCCAAGAAUCGGUAUGUCUCUGCGGCCUCUUCCACUCUGCAUACUCCAAUUCCUAUGUCAACCUCGCCAUCUUCGAACCCUCCACCGGCCGCGACACCGUCCGCGCCCACGUGGGCGAUGCGGCCGAGGAGCUCAUAUAUUUGUUUUGUGUCGUCCCGCGGCAGCCCCUCAUCCACGAUGAUCUCCUCUUCCGGUAUAGUGACGAUGAGCUGGUGGAGCACCUCAAGGCUUCGGAGGUUUCGGUGAGGAAUGCCAAGGAGGGCGGUGUGUUUAAUGGAGAUGAGGCUUGGAGGAAGAAGGUGAAUUCCCUUGUUCCUCCUGGUGGGGUUACGGUGAAGCACAUCAAGACUGGUGAAGAUGUGUUGGUAUCGAGAAGGGUUGUGGCCAUUUUCGUGAUGAUGACAAUGGCUGAUUUCAGUGACCAGCAUUACGGGUUUCAGGACGCCUUGUUUGACAAUUCUAAUGGCCGCCUUGAGUUUUCUGGCAACAGCUAUGGAGCUUUGUGGCCUGGGGAUGGCAAGCCUGGGCUGUGGUUGAAUUCAAUAUCAAGAAUGGGUGCGGUUUACUCAUUGCUAGUGAGGGAGGAGGAGAUUUUCAUCGAAGAGAGGAAAAGAGUUGGUGGGGAUCAAGUGGUGAAAGGCCGAGAUGAGGAGUUAGAGCUUGUGAUACCACCGGUUUUGGAGAACUGCACGAGGGUUUUGGGCGCAGAGGAGCAAAUAGAAGCAACAGAUCUGUAUUGGGAAGCUGUUUGUGAAGGGUCAAAGAGAGGGUUGGAUUGGGCUGAGAAGUUGUUGGGGAGGUGUGUCGAGAAGAACCCAUUUGUGGGGGAGCCACAUGUGGUGUUGGCUCAGAUUUACUUGACAAAUGGGAGGUUUGAGGAGGCCGAGAGAGAGGCUGAGAAGGGGCUGAAGCUCAUGCUGGAGUGGGGGAAUCCAUGGGACAAGAGGAUGACUUGGGAAGGAUGGAUCGCCUGGAACAGGGUUUUGCUGAUGAAGGCUAAGGAGAGGUCAUGGCCAAACACUUCUUGGGGGAUCCUCAACUUAGGGCUUGUCAAGUAAAUCAUUGAUGCAUACAACACAUUUAGAAGACCAUCUUCCUCUUCCAUCUGAUUUAUGAAUCUACUGUGAAUAAAUGCUUUUAAUUUUAUUAAACUAUGAAUUGUGAAGCAAUCAAAAGAUAAUGGUUGUGUUUGAGUGCAGAUCAUUUUCUAUGAAUAAAUUAAUGGUUGUGUCAAGAACUAGGCAUGUCUUCUACUGAAAUUAAUCUUGGAAGUGAUGCACUAUUUGCCCUUUUCCUAGUUUGGUUGCUUUGUGAAUGGUGGGUGGGGAACCUCAAUGGUAAAUCCAAAUGCAAGAAAGAACGGGACAUGUAUGGCCCAUAAAUCCUCAAAAUUCGUCAUUGUCUGCGUGUUAGUGCUCUUUUAUAGCAUGUGCAUUGUAUGGUUGCCUCUCUAUGGAAGUUAUGACCCACUUUCCUUUCUAUAAGCAUUCCCUUCCUAAAACAUCUAAGGAUCUUGGCUUUUCUUCACACAGAACAAAAUAAAUAAAAAAGAAAAAAUUAAGUAAAAAAAAUCAUAUGAGAUUGAAGAAAAAUGAAAUAAAAUAAAAUAAAAGAUUAUGUAAUUCACAAGUUAGUAAGGUAAUCACAUGCAUAUUUAAAGUCAAAAUAAUUCAAGCAAUUUUCUAAUAAAUAAGCAAAUAAAUAAAUAAUUAAACAAAACAAAUAUAAUUAUUAAAUGAGUAAAUAAAUAAAUCACAACAAUUCAAACAUUUUUUUAUUAAGUCAAUAAAUAAAUAAAUAAAACAAAAUAGAUAUAAUUAUUACACACAUGCAAUAGAAAAAACUAAAUGUUAAAAUGAUGCGAUAAUCAAAUAUAAAAAAUCGAAACAUCGAACUCACAUAAUUAAAUAUUGAAAACUCACCUCAAGCAAUCAAAAUCAAGCCAUAUACUCACUCAAACCCAAAAACCAAGCAAUCAAAAUGAGAAAUCAAACCUAAGUGAAUUGAGCCUAGUGAAGUGUCUAAGUAAUCCCAUCCUAGAAAAUGUAACCAAGUGCCCUUAGUGGAAAGUGUCUAAGUAAUCUAAGUGGAAAAUGUUUGAGUAAGCUAAGCUUGAAAUCUAACCUAAGGUCCACCUAAGUGAGUUAAGUGGAAACACAACUAAGUGAAACUUAACGUAAGCUUGAAAGGCAGCCAAGGUCAUGACAAUGAGGGUCCAAAUGAGCCCUUCAAUGAAGGAUUCCUAAAGAUGGGCCAGAAAAAAUAGGUCAUAUGAGUGUCAAUGAGUCACCAAGGGACGACUACGAGUUAAGAGAGAAGCAAAGGAAAGCACCUAGUAUCACAUGUGCUAAGAUAACAAAAUGGAUGAUCUAUAACAAUAUUGUACCAUUUUCCUUUUCAACUAGGGAUGGUAAUGUUGCCUAAACUAUGUGCCAACAUUUGGAGACAAAAAAAAAAAAAAUCACCUCCCAAUGCAUAAAGAAUCCUUUAAAGACAAAAUAAUUUCAUCUUCUAAUGAAUUCUUACAUCUCCAAAUAAUUAACCAUGAUUUUUUAAUUCAUUUCAUGACGAAAGUUACGAAUUUGCGUCACAAAAAUUUUCUUUGAAAAAUAUAUUUGGUUAUAAUUUUAUUUUUUGUAACAAGGUAAAUAAUUUUAGAGAUGAAAUAGUUUGUCUCUAAGAGUUCAUUUCAUAUUUGGAAUAUGAAUGAAAGUAAGAACAUAAAUAAAGGUGAAUUACAAUAAUGCAUAAGAGAGGGAGUUUUUUAAGCAUAUUAUCAUAGCAUUGGGGUAUUUCCUACACUCAACAUCAAAAAUCUUUCAUACCACAACAUCUAUCACUUUGGUCUUUUUUUUUUUUUUUUUCAUUUUUGAGACAUUAAAAGUUGUUUUUUAGACUCAAUAAGAACUUAUAUGUUUGUUUGUCUAAUUAACGAUCAUUAAUACCACAAAACUUGACACUUCAUGCCUUACUUGGAUUGACUUUUAAGAAGUAAAAAGCUUUAUUUCAAGCUUAAUAAGAACUUUUAUGUCUAUUUGACUAAUUUUAUUUAAAGAGCUUAUGACUUACAAAAAAUAUUAAUAUUAAAGUUAGCAAAAUAUUACUUUUUGUAAAAGCUUUAUUUUAACUUCUACAAGAAGUUUUUCAUGUUUGAUAAAACUUUUACACUACUAAUAUAACUGUUUAAAAAUUAUGACUUUGAUUUUAGUUUUAGUUUUUUGUUAAAACCUAAAAUAAAUAAAAAAUUAUGCCCUUUAUCUUUAUGUGGAGUAGGAUUAAGUGUCUAGGAACUAAACCAGGCUUAGCACAAUAUAGUAAGCAUAACCUACUUGUCAUUAAUGAUAGAAGAAACAAUAAUACAUAUAUUAAAGUUGUUUUAUUGAAAAAUUUUAUUAUAUAUACAAAUUUUAAAACUCAUUACUAUUAAAAAUGAUGAUACAUAUGUUAGGAUAGAACCCUUAAAAGCAUGACAUUAUGUAAUAAACUUUUGGUUUUUAUUAUUUAUUUAAUAAAGUUCUAGUUCACUUUUAUCUAUCAUAUUUCCACGUCUUAUAUCUUGUAAGCAUUCUAGUUUGCAUCUUUUGCAUUGUACAUGACUUGGGUGCAUUAGGAGUAACAUGAAAGAUCUAAGUCAUGGGUUCUUUGUAAAUAGAUGACUUGUUCAUAAUCGGUUCAUGGGUCUAGGUAACCCAUUAGAAGAUGUAGUGCAUCACCUCCUAAUUAGAGGGAGGACUGGUCUUGGCUAUUGGGGUGAGUCUCUUAUGGUAAGUGCACUGGUGUGUAUGGUCGCACAUUGGAUAAGACCUAUGGUGAGUUAUGACUUCAGGCUAUCAAGUAGUCAUGACAUCACCAAGUUGCUUCAUUGUGUUGUCUCUCAACCUUGAGAGAAUAUUGAGAUUGUACUGAAGUUAGUAGUGACUUUGACCUACGGAUAAGAUCGUAAACUGAUCAUGUAUUCCUUAUGGAUUAGGUCACUAUUAAUGGAAGUUGGUAGCAAUAUAUAUUCUCAAUAAAGGCACUAUGAUAUCUCUUGGGAUUGAGACAGUGUGACCCAAUGGGUGAUCCUAAGGAGAUGUGUUCAUGGAAACUAUGGUAAUAGUAGUUUCUUAAGUGAAACUUGACAUAAGCUCUUUGAAAACUAAAAUAUGUUAAUUGAACACACAAUCGAAGGAUUUGUAAUUCAAGGAUGGUAGAGGUAGUCUUGAAAGGGCGAUAGUUUUCACCUUGUUAAACUACGAAUACUAGUUCAUGGGGAGACUGAACACAAUGGAUAGCAUGUCACAAACCCGAGCACUUGGCAUCUCGUUGUUAUUUACAUAGAAUACUAGAGUUCAAUUGAUUCUAUGUGGUGGGAUGUUGAAUCAACUUCAAAAUUGGAUUUUGAGGAAGUCGAUAUUACUAUGAGUCCCAAUGGUCCCCGCUCUGAGCUCAUAUACCUUGUUGGCAUAGGUUAUGAAAGUUGAAUUGACUCUACGUUCACUUUUGUGCAUAAGGGCGUUUUGAUAAUUAUACAAGGUUGCACAAGAUUAAGUGAACAAGGUCUCUAGAUUAUGCUAAUUGAUUAAUUAGUAGGUCUUGUUAAGUUAUUAAUUAAUUAGGAACCGUUUUGGGUUAGAUUAAGUGACUCAAACCCUUAGUGGGCUCAAGUCACCUAAGCCCAAUAAGAAGCCCUAUAAAUAUCGCCUUAGGGGUUAGGGUUCUCAUAACCUUUUCUAGAGAGUUGUCUUCCAUUUCCAGAGAGAGAGAGAGCCAUUGCCUCCACUCUCUUUUCCAUCCUCACCAAAAGUGUGUCAAGAUCAAGAUUCGAGUCAUCGAGCGAAAAACUUCAGGUUUACGAGACUUCUGCGAUUUCAUUCUUCAUCUUCAACAUGUGAAUUUGAUUCGGGAACACCUAAAUCUGAGGUAUGGUUUUCAUUAAUACUUUUCGAAUCCCUUUAAAGUUUAAAAAUUCUUUUUUGUUCGCUGAGCAUAGGAUUUAAAAAAAGCCUAGGAUAAUUAUGCAUGCUCCUGACCUAAUUCGGGUUUGGGAAACUAAAAUAUCUGAGGUCUUCCCAUCAAUAUUUAGUUUGAAUAUAUUGGAGGAAAAAAAAUGAUACUUAGACAAAUAUUUUUUAUAUAAAAAUAUUAAUAAUUUUAUUUAUAAAUUUAUAUUUUUCUUCUACUUAAUUAGUAUACAAAAUAUAUGAUAAGAUAAUUAAAAUCAACUUUUUGCUUUUAUUGAAUAAGGGUUCGUUUAAUUUUUAUUUAUUUUUCUUCUAACUCAUUGAAAAGACAAAAUUCAAAAUAAUUUUAUUGGUAAAGGUGGAAUUAACUUAAUUACUUCUAGAGGUGGUAUGCUCGACCUAUUUUUAAAUACAAUUUUUAAUUAGUAUAUUUAUUUAUGCAACAUAAGUUAUUUUACUAUUGGUUUCCAGCACCAUUAAUAAAAAAAAUGUCACCGAUUAAUUUUUAAAAAAAAUCCAAGAAAGGGAAAAAAAUUACCAUUAGGUUUUUGACCUAUUUUAACAUUCUUAACUACUAGUAAGAACAUGAUUUUGAAGGAAACAAAGAAAACAUGAAGGCUCCAAGUACUUUAGAAAAAUUCCAAGUUGCAAACAAAAGAAGAACACUAUUAUUGAUAUUUUUCUCUUAAAAUCAAUAGAUUGAUGCUUUUAUUUUUUAUUCACUAAUCUCUUUUUUAUGAUCAUUUUCUUCACCAAUGUCAUAAGCACAAUUUUUUUUUUUUACCAAAUUAAGGUUUAUAAUUUUUGUACAUAUCAUACUCGUAACCAUCAUAAGGCAUAACUCUCUACUUUCUUGCCAAACCAAAAGAUACACAUGAAAAAUAUGUAAAUAUUUUCCACUUUUUCUUUUACUAACUCGAUGGUUGAAAUGAAAUCUAAUAAUUUGAUACAAUAUAUCGAUGAGAUACAAAUUUAUCAAAACCCAUAAAUAUUGAGAAAACUCCAUAAAAUGAUAGAAGAAACAACAAUACAUAUAUUGAAACUAUUUUAUCGAAAAGUUUACUAUAUAUACAAAUUUAAAAACACAUCACUAUUAAAAACGAUAAUAUAUUUGAUUUGAAUAUAUUAAAGAAUAAAAAAAAUGAUGAUAUUUAAAUAAGUAUUUUUUAUAUGAAAAUAUUGAUAGUUUUAUUUAUAAAUUUAUAUUUUCUUGUGUUUAAUUAGUAUAAAAAAUAUGUAAUAAGAUAAUUAAAAUUAACAUAUUUAUAGUAAUUUUAUUUCAAUUAAUUAAUAAUAUAAUAUAUAAAAGAUAUUAUAAUGUACUACCGCAAUGUCAUAUGGGCAAGUGGAAGAACAAUAAACUCAAUUUAAUAGCUGGUGGGUGCUGUUUUUACGUCAUGGAGAACGUGGUGGCACAUGCUCUCUGAGCAUUUGAAAUAUAUAAAAAAGCAAUCCCUAUUCUCUAUAUCAGUGUAUCCAUCCAUGUAAAAAAAUAUUUUGCGUUGUAAUCAACGUGGCCUAUUCAGACAAGGACCAUAUCUCCUUUGGGAUCAGUUGCGUCUCUCCUAUAACGACCAUCACCUUCCGCUCUUCUCUUUUUCUUUCUUUCUCUCUUCUCCUUCUCCUCCAUCGUUCCCUUCUCCCCCUCACUCCCAAACGGACACUAUGCCUUCCUCUCUAUCUUCAUCUCCCUCUCCGGACCUUCAUCUCCAAACCCUCUUGGCCUCCGCUCGUCCCUUCCUUCGGGGCGAGCUUGAAGCCGUCCACCCAAAGCUGCCUUCUAUCAUCUCUGUUCUCCGAUCGGUGGGCGCAGGCGAGUGCUGGCACAAGCAUGGAAGUUUCCUUGAACAUCUAGUCGACAUGUACAAGAUUCUCAAGCUCUGGAAGGCCCAAGAAUCGGUAUGUCUCUGCGGCCUCUUCCACUCUGCAUACUCCAAUUCCUAUGUCAACCUCGCCAUCUUCGACCCCUCCACCGGCCGCGACACCGUCCGCGCCCACGUGGGCGAUGCGGCCGAGAAGCUCAUACAUUUGUUUUGUGUCGUCCCGCGGCAGCCCCUCGUCCACGAUGAUCUCAUCUUCCGGUGCAGUGACGAUGAGCUGGUGGAGCACCUCAAGGCUUCGGAGGUUUCGGUGAGGAAUGCCAAGGAGGGCGGUGUGGUUAAUGGAGAUGAGGCUUGGAGGAAGAAGGUGAAUUCCCUUGUUCCUCCUGAUGGGGUUACGGUGAAGCACAUCAAGACUGGUGAAGAUGUGUUGGUGUCGAGAAGGGUUGUGGCCAUUUUCGUGAUGAUGACAAUGGCUGAUUCCAGUGACAAGCAUUACGGGUUUCAGGACGCCUUGAGUUUUCUGGCAACAGCUAUGGAGCUUUGUGGCCUGGGGAUGGCAAGCCUGGGCUGUGGUUGAAUUCAAUAUCAAGAAUGGGUGCGGUUUACUCAUUGCUAGUGAGGGAGGAGGAGAUUUUCAUCGAAGAGAGGAAAAGAAUUGGUGGGGAUCAAGUGGUGGAAGGCCGAGAUGAGGAGUUAGAGCUUGUGAUACCACCGGUUUUGGAGAACUGCACGAGGGUUUUGGGCGCAGAGGAGCAAAU
Molecule: long non-coding RNA, 34279 nt
Filed under: Vitis vinifera (wine grape)
Lineage: Eukaryota; Viridiplantae; Streptophyta; Magnoliopsida; Vitales; Vitaceae
Description: long non-coding RNA (VVIN_LNC003344)
Source: RNAcentral